This 689-nucleotide ribosomal RNA is filed under the name Clostridioides difficile. RNAcentral's name for it is "bacterial LSU rRNA". It matches the Rfam family "Bacterial large subunit ribosomal RNA", at positions 1897 to 2584 of the family's 2925-position model. The record is from RNAcentral. Lineage: Bacteria; Bacillati; Bacillota; Clostridia; Peptostreptococcales; Peptostreptococcaceae.
AAUCGAAGCAGUGAACUUAAGCCCCAGUAAACGGCGGCCGUAACUAUAACGGUCCUAAGGUAGCGAAAUUCCUUGUCGGGUAAGUUCCGACCCGCACGAAAGGCGUAACGAUUUGGGCACUGUCUCAACAACAGACUCGGUGAAAUUGUAAUUCCGGUGAAGAUGCCGGAUACCUGCGACAGGACGGAAAGACCCCAUGGAGCUUUACUGUAGCUUGACAUUGGGUCUUGGUACUACAUGUACAGGAUAGGUGGGAGGCUUUGAAACCAGGACGCCAGUUUUGGCGGAGCCAUCCUUGGGAUACCACCCUUGUAGUACUGGGACUCUAACCAUAGGCCAUGAAUCUGGUCUUGGGACACUGUCAGGUGGGCAGUUUGACUGGGGCGGUCGCCUCCCAAAAGGUAACGGAGGCGCUCAAAGGUUCUCUCAGUACGGUCGGAAAUCGUACGUAGAGGGUAAAGGCAAAAGAGAGCUUGAUUGCAAGACAUACAGGGCGAGCAAGGAUGAAAAUCGGACUUAGUGAUCCGGUGGUUCUGCGUGGAAGGGCCAUCGCUCAACGGAUAAAAGCUACCCUGGGGAUAACAGGCUUAUCUCCCCCAAGAGUCCACAUCGACGGGGAGGUUUGGCACCUCGAUGUCGGCUCAUCACAUCCUGGGGCUGUAGUAGGUCCCAAGGGUUGGGCUGUUCGC